UAAAAUCCAAAAAAUAAGAUGCAUAAACAUGUUUAGAGAUCCUUCUUACCAAAUUGGUAGUGACUCUAGUAAAGAAGUUCCCAUUAUUGCUCGAGAGCUAAAGUCACUAAAAAUUUAAAGUAAAGAGGCUAUACAAAAUGAAAAAGAGAAAAUUAAAAGAGGGGCCCAACUUGCCAUUCUAAAGGAUGAACUUAGAAUUCUAAAACAAAAGGAUGAGAGGAUACAAGAGAAUAUUAAGAGAAAAAGAGAGAAAGACAAGAGAAAGAAGGAAAAACAAAGAGAGAAAGAGGAACAAGCAAGAAAAGAGAAAAAGAAGGAGGAAAAUAGUAAAGAGUAUGAAGAUAAAAAGAUAAGAGAAAGGAAUGAGAAAUAAAAGAGGAAAAAAGAAGAUAUUGAAAUAAUAGAAGAAGAAGAAGUGCUACUAAAGGAACCUAUCGUUCCCUCAAUAAUAGUUGAAACCAAGAUGAUAAAGGAAGUUUUCUAAUUUUUGAACUUUUCUCAAUUUAUCAUUCAAACUCUUU
RNAcentral lists this long non-coding RNA (521 nucleotides) under Vigna radiata. RNAcentral's name for it is "long non-coding RNA (VRAD_LNC003383)". Lineage: Eukaryota; Viridiplantae; Streptophyta; Magnoliopsida; Fabales; Fabaceae. The record is from RNAcentral.